RNAcentral lists this ribosomal RNA (465 nucleotides) under uncultured bacterium. RNAcentral describes it as "partial 16S ribosomal RNA". It matches the Rfam family "Bacterial small subunit ribosomal RNA", at positions 28 to 507 of the family's 1533-position model. The record is from RNAcentral.
GACGAACGCUGGCGGCGUGCUUAACACAUGCAAGUCGAACGGAAAGGCCCUGCUUGCAGGGUACUCGAGUGGCGAACUGGUGAGUAACACGUGGGUGAUCUGCCCUGCACUUCGGGAUAAGCCUGGGAAACUGGGUCUAAUACCGGAUAGGAGCCAUUUUUAGUGUGAUGGUUGGAAAGUUUUUUCGGUGUAGGAUGAGCUCGCGGCCUAUCAGCUUGUUGGUGGGGUAAUGGCCUACCAAGGCGGCGACGGGUAGCCGGCCUGAGAGGGUGGACGGCCACAUUGGGACUGAGAUACGGCCCAGACUCCUACGGGAGGCAGCAGUGGGGAAUAUUGCACAAUGGGCGCAAGCCUGAUGCAGCGACGCCGCGUGGGGGAUGACGGCCUUCGGGUUGUAAACUCCUUUCGCUAGGGACGAAGCUUUUUGUGACGGUACCUAGAGAAGAAGCACCGGCUAACUACGUG